GACGAACGCUGGCGGCGUGCCUAAUACAUGCAAGUUGAGCGCUGAAGGUUGGUACUUGUACCCACUGGAUGAGCAGCGAACGGGUGAGUAACGCGUGGGGAAUCUGCCUUUGAGCGGGGGACAACAUUUGGAAACGAAUGCUAAUACCGCAUAAAAACUUUAAACACAAGUUUUAAGUUUGAAAGAUGCAAUUGCAUCACUCAAAGAUGAUCCCGCGUUGUAUUAGCUAGUUGGUGAGGUAAAGGCUCACCAAGGCGAUGAUACAUAGCCGACCUGAGAGGGUGAUCGGCCACAUUGGGACUGAGACACGGCCCAAACUCCUACGGGAGGCAGCAGUAGGGAAUCUUCGGAAAUGGACGAAAGUCUGACCGAGCAACGCCGCGUGAGUGAAGAAGGUUGUCGGAUCGUAAAACUCUGUUGGUAGAGAAGAACGUUGGUGAGAGUGGAAAGCUCAUCAAGUGACGGUAACUACCCAGAAAGGGACGGCUAACUACGUG
This 497-nucleotide ribosomal RNA is filed under the name uncultured bacterium. Its description in RNAcentral is "partial 16S ribosomal RNA". It matches the Rfam family "Bacterial small subunit ribosomal RNA", at positions 28 to 507 of the family's 1533-position model. The record is from RNAcentral.